RNAcentral lists this ribosomal RNA (505 nucleotides) under Afrocyclus potteri. RNAcentral describes it as "partial 16S ribosomal RNA". It matches the Rfam family "Bacterial large subunit ribosomal RNA", at positions 1817 to 2597 of the family's 2925-position model. The record is from RNAcentral. Lineage: Eukaryota; Metazoa; Mollusca; Gastropoda; Architaenioglossa; Cyclophoridae.
CGCUCUUUGUAUAAAUAAAGAGUCGUACCUGCCCAGUGAGAUAAUUAAACGGCCGCAGUACCCUGACUGUGCUAAGGUAGCAUAAUAAUUUGCCUUUUAAUUGGUGGCUUGUAUGAAUGGUUUGACGAAAACAUAGCUGUCUCUAAUAUAUUAUUUAUAAUUUAUCUUUUAGGUUAAAAUUCCUAAAUCUAAUUAAGGGACGAGAAGACCCUAUUGAAUUUUAAAAGAAUGCAUAAAUAAAAGUUAUAUUUUUAAAAUUGUUGAUUUAUGUAAAAUUUUGGUUGGGGCAACCAAGGAACAAAAAAAGCUUCUUUAUUACUAGUAAAAUUACUUUUUUUGAUCCAAUAAAUGUUGAUAGUGGGAAUUAAUUACCAUAGGGAUAACAGCGUAAUUUUUUUUGAGAGAUCUAAUCGAAAAAUAAAGCUUGCGACCUCGAUGUUGGAUUAGGAUAUUUCUGAAGGUUGCAGAAGCUUUUAAGAUUGGUCUGUUCGACCAUUAAAAUCCU